RNAcentral lists this non-coding RNA (29 nucleotides) under Cricetulus griseus (Chinese hamster). The record is from RNAcentral. Lineage: Eukaryota; Metazoa; Chordata; Mammalia; Rodentia; Cricetidae.
UCUGGGCAAAAAAGGAGCAGAGUCUUGCC